GGGAAAGUGGGUUGCAAUAAAGCAGGGAGCCGCAUCUCCAUCAAUAAAACUGCAGAUAUCUGUUAGAUCUCCAAGGAAGAAGACAAGGAAGUAAAGGGUGUGACAAGGCGGCAGUCAUGUUGUGGGGCAUCCUUCUUCCCACCUCACUCUCACUCCCAUGGAUACGUUUGCUUUAUUAUUUGUGCCUCCUCUUUCUCAUCUCAUCCAACCGUCUUCUCGCCGGGACUGGAACAAUUAUGUGGGGAGAACAGCCCUAAAAACAAUGGUGAAUGCUCAGAAAAGAUUAAUGAAGUCUCACCACUUAAAUGUGCAUUUGCAAUAUUUGAUGCCGACUUCUUCAAUGAUGCUAAGAUAGCCGAGAUUGAGAAGGGUGCAACUGAGCUGAAUAUCCCUAUAUCAAGAGCCAAUCGUAAGUUAGUUGCUUCUGUUAAUGGAGGUUUACAUGAUCCAUCUUAUUUGGUUUUCAAUCCUGAGUGGGGCAAUGAACAAGUGCAAAGCAAAACAAAAAGAUUCAGUUAUCCUUCCCUUUCUGGAAU
This is an RNA transcript of Vitis riparia (riverbank grape), 536 nucleotides long. RefSeq lists it as uncharacterized. The transcript has 3 exons. The record is from RefSeq and is a predicted model, not a curated record. NCBI's taxonomy places the organism in Eukaryota, Viridiplantae, Streptophyta, Magnoliopsida, Vitales, Vitaceae.